AGUGAACGCUGGCGGCAGGCCUAACACAUGCAAGUCGAGCGGCAGCGCGGGGGCAACCCUGGCGGCGAGCGGCGGACGGGUGAGGAAUUCGUCGGAAUCUGCCUUUUUGUGGGGAUAACGUAGGGAAACUUACGCUAAUACCGCAUACGUCCUACGGGAGAAAGUGGGGGACCGCAAGGCCUCACGCAGAAAGAUGAGCCGACGACCGAUUAGCUAGUUGGUGGGGUAAAGGCCCACCAAGGCGACGAUCGGUAGCUGGUCUGAGAGGAUGAUCAGCCACACUGGGACUGAGACACGGCCCAGACUCCUACGGGAGGCAGCAGUGGGGAAUAUUGGACAAUGGGCGCAAGCCUGAUCCAGCCAUGCCGCGUGUGUGAAGAAGGCCUUCGGGUUGUAAAGCACUUUUGUCCGGAAAGAAAUCCCUGGAGCUAAUACCUUCGGGGGAUGACGGUACCGGAAGAAUAAGCACCGGCUAACUUCGU
Molecule: ribosomal RNA, 482 nt
Filed under: uncultured bacterium
Lineage: Bacteria
Description: partial 16S ribosomal RNA
Rfam family: Bacterial small subunit ribosomal RNA
Source: RNAcentral